UUUCCGUAGGUGAACCUGCGGAAGGAUCAUUACAGUGUUCUCUGCCCUCACGGGUAGAAACACCCACCCUUGUAUAUUAUAUCUUUGUUGCUUUGGCAGGCCGCCCUCGGGCACCGGCUCCGGCUGGAUCGCGCCUGCCAGAGGAAACCCAAACUCUGAAUGUUAGUGUCGUCUGAGUACUAUCUAAUAGUUAAAACUUUCAACAACGGAUCUCUUGGUUCUG
RNAcentral lists this unclassified non-coding RNA (223 nucleotides) under plant metagenome. RNAcentral describes it as "partial contains small subunit ribosomal RNA, internal transcribed spacer 1, and 5.8S ribosomal RNA". The record is from RNAcentral.